GGUUAAGUUAGAAAGGGCGCACGGUGGAUGCCUUGGCACUAGGAGCCGAUGAAGGACGGGACGAACACCGAUAUGCUUCGGGGAGCUGUAAGCAAGCUUUGAUCCGGAGAUUUCCGAAUGGGGAAACCCACUGCUCGUAAUGGAGCAGUAUCCAUAUCUGAAUUCAUAGGAUAUGAGAAGGCAGACCCGGGGAACUGAAACAUCUAAGUACCCGGAGGAAGAGAAAGCAAAUGCGAUUCCCUGAGUAGCGGCGAGCGAAACGGGAUUAGCCCAAACCAAGAGGCUUGCCUCUUGGGGUUGUAGGACACUCUGUACGGAGUUACAAAAGAACGAGGUAGAUGAAGAGGUCUGGAAAGGCCCGCCAUAGGAGGUAACAGCCCUGUAGUCAAAACUUCGUUCUCUCCUGAGUGGAUCCUGAGUACGGCGGAACACGUGAAAUUCCGUCGGAAUCCGGGAGGACCAUCUCCCAAGGCUAAAUACUCCCUAGUGACCGAUAGUGAACCAGUACCGUGAGGGAAAGGUGAAAAGCACCCCGGAAGGGGAGUGAAAGAGAUCCUGAAACCGUGUGCCUACAAGUAGUCAGAGCCCGUUAACGGGUGAUGGCGUGCCUUUUGUAGAAUGAACCGGCGAGUUACGAUCCCGUGCAAGGUUAAGUUUGAAAAGACGGAGCCGCAGCGAAAGCGAGUCUGAAUAGGGCGCAUGAGUACGUGGUCGUAGACCCGAAACCAGGUGAUCUACCCAUGUCCAGGGUGAAGUUCAGGUAACACUGAAUGGAGGCCCGAACCCACGCACGUUGAAAAGUGCGGGGAUGAGGUGUGGGUAGGGGUGAAAUGCCAAUCGAACCUGGAGAUAGCUGGUUCUCUCCGAAAUAGCUUUAGGGCUAGCCUCAAGGUAAGAGUCUUGGAGGUAGAGCACUGAUUGGACUAGGGGCCCCUACCGGGUUACCGAAUUCAGUCAAACUCCGAAUGCCAAAGACUUAUCCUUGGGAGUCAGACUGCGAGUGAUAAGAUCCGUAGUCGAAAGGGAAACAGCCCAGACCGCCAGCUAAGGUCCCAAAGUAUACGUUAAGUGGAAAAGGAUGUGGAGUUGCUUAGACAACCAGGAUGUUGGCUUAGAAGCAGCCACCAUUUAAAGAGUGCGUAAUAGCUCACUGGUCGAGUGACUCUGCGCCGAAAAUGUACCGGGGCUAAACGUAUCACCGAAGCUGCGGACUGUUCUUACGAACAGUGGUAGGAGAGCGUUCUAAGGGCUGUGAAGCGAGACCGGAAGGACUCGUGGAGCGCUUAGAAGUGAGAAUGCCGGUAUGAGUAGCGAAAGAGGGGUGAGAAUCCCCUCCACCGAAUGCCUAAGGUUUCCUGAGGAAGGCUCGUCCGCUCAGGGUUAGUCGGGACCUAAGCCGAGGCCGAAAGGCGUAGGCGAUGGACAACAGGUUGAUAUUCCUGUACCACCUCCUCACCAUUUGAGNNNNNNNNNNNNNNNGGCUGAGCUGUGAUGGCGAGCGAAAUAUAGUAGCGAAGUUCCUGAUUCCACACUGCCAAGAAAAGCCUCUAGCGAGGUGAGAGGUGCCCGUACCGCAAACCGACACAGGUAGGCGAGGAGAGAAUCCUAAGGUGAUCGAGAGAACUCUCGUUAAGGAACUCGGCAAAAUGACCCCGUAACUUCGGGAGAAGGGGUGCUCUGUUAGGGUGCAAGCCCGAGAGAGCCGCAGUGAAUAGGCCCAGGCGACUGUUUAGCAAAAACACAGGUCUCUGCGAAGCCGUAAGGCGAAGUAUAGGGGCUGACGCCUGCCCGGUGCUGGAAGGUUAAGAGGAGCGCUUAGCGUAUGCGAAGGUGCGAAUUGAAGCCCCAGUAAACGGCGGCCGUAACUAUAACGGUCCUAAGGUAGCGAAAUUCCUUGUCGGGUAAGUUCCGACCCGCACGAAAGGCGCAACGAUCUGGGCACUGUCUCAACGAGAGACUCGGUGAAAUUAUAGUACCUGUGAAGAUGCAGGUUACCCGCGACAGGACGGAAAGACCCCGUGGAGCUUUACUGCAGCCUGAUAUUGAAUGUUGGUACAGCUUGUACAGGAUAGGUAGGAGCCUUGGAAACCGGAGCGCCAGCUUCGGUGGAGGCAUCGGUGGGAUACUACCCUGGCUGUAUUGACCUUCUAACCCGCUGCCCUUAUCGGGCAGGGAGACAGUGUCAGGUGGGCAGUUUGACUGGGGCGGUCGCCUCCUAAAAAGUAACGGAGGCGCCCAAAGGUUCCCUCAGAAUGGUUGGAAAUCAUUCGCAGAGUGUAAAGGCACAAGGGAGCUUGACUGCGAGACCUACAAGUCGAGCAGGGACGAAAGUCGGGCUUAGUGAUCCGGUGGUUCCGCAUGGAAGGGCCAUCGCUCAACGGAUAAAAGCUACCCCGGGGAUAACAGGCUUAUCUCCCCCAAGAGUCCACAUCGACGGGGAGGUUUGGCACCUCGAUGUCGGCUCAUCGCAUCCUGGGGCUGUAGUCGGUCCCAAGGGUUGGGCUGUUCGCCCAUUAAAGCGGUACGCGAGCUGGGUUCAGAACGUCGUGAGACAGUUCGGUCCCUAUCCGUCGCGGGCGCAGGAAAUUUGAGAGGAGCUGUCCUUAGUACGAGAGGACCGGGAUGGACGCACCGCUGGUGUACCAGUUGUUCUGCCAAGGGCAUCGCUGGGUAGCUAUGUGCGGACGGGAUAAGUGCUGAAAGCAUCUAAGCAUGAAGCCCCCCUCAAGAUGAGAUUUCCCAUUCCGCAAGGAAGUAAGAUCCCUGAAAGAUGAUCAGGUUGAUAGGUCUGAGGUGGAAGUGUGGCGACACAUGGAGCUGACAGAUACUAAUCGAUCGAGGACUUAACCUA
Molecule: ribosomal RNA, 2851 nt
Filed under: Bacillus haynesii
Lineage: Bacteria; Bacillati; Bacillota; Bacilli; Caryophanales; Bacillaceae
Description: 23S ribosomal RNA
Rfam family: Bacterial large subunit ribosomal RNA
Source: RNAcentral